Molecule: non-coding RNA, 30 nt
Filed under: Rattus norvegicus (Norway rat)
Lineage: Eukaryota; Metazoa; Chordata; Mammalia; Rodentia; Muridae
Source: RNAcentral
UGAAUCGCAGCAUUUACAUAUUUGGAUGGU